This 403-nucleotide ribosomal RNA is filed under the name Verrucomicrobiota bacterium. RNAcentral's name for it is "Verrucomicrobia bacterium partial 16S ribosomal RNA". It matches the Rfam family "Bacterial small subunit ribosomal RNA", at positions 355 to 776 of the family's 1533-position model. Lineage: Bacteria; Pseudomonadati; Verrucomicrobiota. The record is from RNAcentral.
UGGGGAAUAUUGCACAAUGGGGGAAACCCUGAUGCAGCGACGCCGCGUGAGCGAUGAAGGCUUUCGAGUCGUAAAGCUCUGUCCUAUGGGAAGAUAAUGACGGUACCAUAGAAGAAAGCCCCGGCUAAUUACGUGCCAGCAGCCGCGGUAAUACGUAAGGGGCGAGCGUUGUCCGGAAUUAUUGGGCGUAAAGAGUGCGUAGGCGGCAAUGCAAGUCAGAUGUAAAAGGCAAAGGCUCAACCUUUGUAAGCAUCUGAAACUGUAUAGCUUGAGAAGUGUAGAGGCAAGUGGAAUUUUUAGUGUAGCGGUGAAAUGCGUAGAUAUUAAAAAGAAUACCGGUGGCGAAGGCGACUUGCUGGGCACAAUCUGACGCUGAGGAACGAAAGCGUGGGGAGCAAACAGG